RNAcentral lists this ribosomal RNA (253 nucleotides) under uncultured bacterium. Its description in RNAcentral is "partial 16S ribosomal RNA". It matches the Rfam family "Bacterial small subunit ribosomal RNA", at positions 524 to 776 of the family's 1533-position model. The record is from RNAcentral.
UACGGAGGGAGCUAGCGUUGUUCGGAAUCACUGGGCGUAAAGCGCACGUAGGCGGAUUCUUAAGUCAGGGGUGAAAUCCUGGAGCUCAACUCCAGAACUGCCUUUGAUACUGGGAGUCUCGAGUCCGGGAGAGGUGAGUGGAACUGCGAGUGUAGAGGUGAAAUUCGUAGAUAUUCGCAAGAACACCAGUGGCGAAGGCGGCUCACUGGCCCGGUACUGACGCUGAGGUGCGAAAGCGUGGGGAGCAAACAGG